This 253-nucleotide ribosomal RNA is filed under the name uncultured bacterium. Its description in RNAcentral is "partial 16S ribosomal RNA". It matches the Rfam family "Bacterial small subunit ribosomal RNA", at positions 524 to 776 of the family's 1533-position model. The record is from RNAcentral.
UACAGAGGGUGCGAGCGUUAAUCGGAAUUACUGGGUGUAAAGCGCACGUAGGCGGCUUGGUAUGUCGGGUGUGAAAUCCCCGGGCUCAACCUGGGAACUGCAUCCGAAACUGCCUUGCUCGAGUAUGGGAGAGGGAAGUGGAAUUUCCGGUGUAGCGGUGAAAUGCGUAGAUAUCGGAAGGAACAUCAGUGGCGAAGGCGACUUCCUGGACCAAUACUGACGCUCAGGUGCGAAAGCGUGGGGAGCAAACAGG